RNAcentral lists this ribosomal RNA (378 nucleotides) under uncultured eukaryote. RNAcentral's name for it is "partial 18S ribosomal RNA". It matches the Rfam family "Eukaryotic small subunit ribosomal RNA", at positions 592 to 976 of the family's 1831-position model. The record is from RNAcentral.
CAAUAGCGUAUAUUUAAGUUGUUGCAGUUAAAAAGCUCGUAGUUGGAUUUCGGGUUGGCUUCAGCGGUCUCGCUUUGCGUUUGUACUGCCGCAGCCUUCCUUCUUGCUGGGGACGGUCCUCCGGGCUUCAUUGCUUGGGGUCUGGAAUCAGCGACGUUACUUUGAGUAAAUUAGAGUGUUCAAAGCAAGCCUACGCUCUGAAUAUAAUAGCAUGGGAUAACACGACAGGACUCUGGCCUAUCGUGUUGGUCUGUAGGACCAGAGUAGUGAUUAAGAGGGACAGUCGGGGGCAUUCGUAUUCCGUUGUCAGAGGUGAAAUUCUUGGAUUUACGGAAGACGAACAUCUGCGAAAGCAUUUGCCAAGGAUGUUUUCAUUGA